UGUAUGCUAAACACGCAAUUUGAACUUGAAUUAUCAGUUUUAGACUGAUUAAGAAACAAUGAAAUGAAGGAAUUUUAGUCCAUGAAAUGCUAUCAGAGUUCAAGCAAAAUCUGAAGUAACAAGAAUUUUGUCUCUCUCAAGAAGUCUUUGAAGCAUUUAGAGAUUCGCUUUAUCAUUUUUGAAUCUGAACAAAUUGCUAGCAAUAACUUCUGUUAGUCAACAUCUUUCAAGAAAUGCCGAGAAAAUUGCCAUGAAAUUUAUACAGGAUUGUAAUAAAGCAAGAAAUGAAAAAGUCCCAUUUAUUGUAGAAACAUAGAUGAAAGCUUGGGAUCAUAUACCAUCAUCUAGCAUCCAAAGAUCUUUUGAAGCUUGUGGAAUUACUAGCAAUGAUGACAACGAUUUCCAUGAAUUGUUAUAUGAGCUCAUAAUGAUGGGAACAUUGGCCAGAAUAGAAGUCAUUGAAUCAGAAGACAGCAACAUUGGAAGUGAUGCAGAAAAUGCAGAACUUGAUUCAGUUGGCAAAUACAGAACUUAGUGCGGUUUCACUCAGUGCUGACCCCACUAUAGUACGGUUAGUAAUUUGAGUAAUAAAUUUCAGUUAGUAUUGAUUGAUUCA
RNAcentral lists this long non-coding RNA (616 nucleotides) under Androctonus crassicauda. The record is from RNAcentral. Lineage: Eukaryota; Metazoa; Arthropoda; Arachnida; Scorpiones; Buthidae.